RNAcentral lists this ribosomal RNA (1367 nucleotides) under uncultured bacterium. RNAcentral describes it as "bacterial SSU rRNA". It matches the Rfam family "Bacterial small subunit ribosomal RNA", at positions 28 to 1381 of the family's 1533-position model. The record is from RNAcentral.
GAUGAACGCUACCGAUCGGCUUAACACAUGCAAGUCGAGGGGUAACGUGUUGGAAGCUUGCUUCCGAUGACGACCACCGGCGGAUGGGUGCGUAACGCGUAUGCAACUUGCCUCACAGAGGAGAAUAACCCGGAGAAAUCCCGACUAAUGCUCCAUACACUCUUUAGCACGCCUGUGCGUAAGAAGAAAGAUUUAUCGCUGUGACCUACGCAUGCGUCCUAUUAGGUAGUUGGUGAGGUAACGCGCUCACCAAGCCGACGAUAGGAAGGGGUGCUGAGAGGCAGAUCCCCCACAUUGCGACUGAGACACGGACCAAACUCCUACGGGAGGCAGCAGUGAGGAAUAUUGGUCAAUGGAGGAAACUCUGAACCAGCCAAGUCGCGUGAAGGAAGAAUGUCCUAAGGAUUGUAAACUUCUUUAACGAGUGAGUAACGACUUCCACGUGUUGGGAGUUUGAACGUAGCUCGAGAAUAAUUAUCGGCUAACUCCGUGCCCGCAGCCGCGAUAAUACGGAGGAUACCAGCGUUAUCCGGAUUUAUUGGGUUUAAAGGGUGCGCACGUGGUCCUGCAGUCAGUGGUGAAAAGCUGAGGCUCAACCUCAGCCUUGCCGUUGAAACUGCAAGACUUGAGAGUACAUGAUGUGGGCGGAAUGCGUAGUGUAGCGGUGAAAUGCAUAGAUAUUACGCAGAACUCCGAUUGCGAAGGCAGCUCACAAAGGUAUGUCUGACACUGAGGCACGAAAGCGUGGGGAGCAAACAGGAUUAGAUACCCUGGUAGUCCACGCCGUAAACGAUGAUUACUCGAAGUAUGCGAUAUGACAGUAUGCUUCCAAGCGAAAGUGAUAAGUAAUCCACCUGGGGAGUACGCCGGCAACGGUGAAACUCAAAGGAAUUGACGGGGGCCCGCACAAGCGGAGGAACAUGUGGUUUAAUUCGAUGAUACGCGAGGAACCUUACCCGGGAUUGAAAUGUAUGUGCGCCUCUUGGGAAACCGAGAGGGUUCUCUUCGGAGACACAUAUGUAGGUGCUGCAUGGUUGUCGUCAGCUCGUGCCGUGAGGUGUCGGCUUAAGUGCCAUAACGAGCGCAACCCUUAUCGUCAGUUACUAACAGGUCAAGCUGAGGACUCUGGCGAGACUGCCGUCGUAAGGCGAGAGGAAGGUGGGGAUGACGUCAAAUCAGCACGGCCCUUACAUCCGGGGCGACACACGUGUUACAAUGGUAGGGACAGAGAGUAGCCACUCGGCGACGAGGAGCGGAUCUUGAAACCCUAUCUCAGUUCGGAUCGGAGUCUGCAACUCGACUCCGUGAAGCCGGAUUCGCUAGUAAUCGCGCAUCAGCCAUGGCGCGGUGAAUACGUUCCCGGGCCU